Molecule: long non-coding RNA, 1986 nt
Organism: Actinia tenebrosa (Australian red waratah sea anemone)
Lineage: Eukaryota; Metazoa; Cnidaria; Anthozoa; Actiniaria; Actiniidae
Source: RefSeq, a predicted model, not a curated record
GGUCAGCGGUAAUACCACCAAAUGGACCAGACAAAGACUUGACUAAAAAUGGCGCAGCAGCCAGAAAACCCAUCUGCAACAGAUAAAAAGUGUCACCGUGCUUCAUUACUGCAUUUCAAUUGGAAUUCAGAAGCCGAUUUUUGCUCACAUAUACGGAUGACACCGACCCGGGAGCGAACCAAGGUCGCAUUGGUGAGAGCCGAGCGCUCUCGACGCUACGUCAACCCAUGCUUCCCAAGACACAAAGAAAUUAAUUUAUGAAGACGUGACGACGUCAGCUACUCACAGUUUGGAUGUCUGUAUGCAAGAUAUCGAUCAGGUACAUUGGUAAUGAGAUAAGUAUCGUAUAUAGGCCCCAGUCUGCUGCUAAAUUCCCGGCCAUAAUAGCCCACACAGGAACUGACGUCAGAAGCGCUUUCCAAGGAACUGGAUCUGGGUUCUAUAUAACAAAUUAUAAAAUAUAUGAAAUAUAACUCGCGCGAUGAUUGGCUGGCUUCUGUGUUUAUAUCAGAGGACAGAGAAACUCGCGCAAAAUCAUUCAAUAAAUAUUGUACAAAAGCAAUAUAAAACGCUUACGACACUGAAUACUGUCUCUGUACUGUGUAUUAACGCGCUCGUUUUAGAUUCCUUAAACUCCUCGUACUUCCUUAUAUUCCUUUUGGGAGUAAAGUUCAACCCACUUUCACUCUCACACACCACUACAUUUAAUAUUCUAAGUUCACAACACUCAACGUGUUGAUUUUUUUUUUAAUCUUUUGUUUGGCUGCUUAGCUUACUCACAUUUAUAGAUUCUGUUUCUUUCAAGAUAAGUUGCUUCUCUUGUUCUGAAAUGGUCGGGUGGUCCUCGGGUGACUCGUGCACGACAAGCUGCCAGGCUGCGAACCAAAGUAUCCCAGCAGCACCUGGGAGCAAAAGAAGACAAAAUUUCAACCAUUUGAUCUAAGCACUUUACUAUAAAAAGGCCUCUUGUGUCUCUGGACUGUUCAUGUAAUACCAACGAGCUGGGAGUAUCCAGGAGAGCACGGCAGAAGCAAGUCUAGAUUACGAGCAAUUGCGGUCGCUUUUUUAUCAUUUCAUAGAGAACUUGCUUCCAUAAAUAAUACUGUUUGGCACGAAACGAAUAUUUUACGACUUAAGAAUACAUUUAAAAACUAUGUAAUUAGAUAUUACUGUUAUUUUCAUAAAAGUGCAAACUCGGUAGCUGCGAGCUGCACGCUGAAAUUAGUUUUUUUCCCUGCAGUCAAUCAAAACCAAUCAGUCGGUAACUUAUAUAUUUUUGACUAGCGGCAGUGAAAAACCAAUUUCCAAUGUUUAUGAAAAUAGGUGUUAGGAAACCAAGUUGAUUUUCACUACCAACCAAAGCAGUAGAAGACCGAUGCCCAUCCACCAUCGAAGCCAUAUCUUGUCAGUAAACCAGAGGUGCCCAUUUGCUCCAGAUAGCAUGGUUACAUGGAAACACUGCUCCCUGAAACAGAAAAUAGUAUGCUAAUUAUUCAAGGUAAGAGCGAUCGUGAGAUCCAUAAUAUGCAUUGUCUGUUGCUAUACAUUCAUCCAAUAUAAUUCAGGUACAUUCUUAUUGCUAUACGUCCGUGCAAUCCAUUUCAGAUACAUUCAUAUUCCUAUGCGUUCAUCCAAUCCAUUUCAGGGACAAUCUUAUUCCUAUACGUCCAUCCAAUCCAUUUCAGGUCCAUUCUUAUUGCUAUACGUCCAUCCAAUCCAUUUCAGAUACAUUCAUAUUCCUAUACGUCCAUCCAAUCCAUUUCAGGUACAAUCUUAUUCCUAUACGUCCAUCCAAUCCAUUUCAGGUCCAUUCUUAUUGCUAUACGUCCAUCCAAUACAUUUCAGAUACAUUCAUAUUCCUAUACGUUCAUCCAAUCCAUUUCAGGUACAAUCUUAUUCCUAUACGUCCAUCCAAUCCAUUUCAGGUACAUUCUUAUUUCUUUAUUCAAUUUAGUUCAAGAAUAUAUGUAUGUAUAUAUCUCACCA